Molecule: long non-coding RNA, 340 nt
Organism: Pezoporus occidentalis (night parrot)
Lineage: Eukaryota; Metazoa; Chordata; Aves; Psittaciformes; Psittacidae
Exons: 2
Source: RefSeq, a predicted model, not a curated record
GAACGUGACAAAGAUGCAUUCUGUGUGGAGGAAAGAAACCUCAGUUGCUGCCAAAAAAUUGUGUUCCAGAUGCAAGCUGACGAACUGUCACUGCAGAAGGUUAGGAUGAUACAGGCCACCUUCCAGGAAAUCUGCAGGAAGCAAAGCACUGAGCUGCAAAGGCAAUGCAGAAGAGGCAGUACAGUAGUAGAAAACCUCUUAUCUCUUCAAAAUCAUGAAGCCAUCGCCAUCCUGCCUUCUGCUCAACAGGUUGGCUCAGGCACUCAUCUUUGGCUCUGCAUGUGAAAGUACAAGUUAGGAAGCUAAUAUGAGCUGGAGAAUCAAAAAAGGACUGCCCUUG